Stomoxys calcitrans (stable fly) is the source of this 451-nucleotide long non-coding RNA. RefSeq lists it as uncharacterized. Lineage: Eukaryota; Metazoa; Arthropoda; Insecta; Diptera; Muscidae. The record is from RefSeq and is a predicted model, not a curated record. The transcript has 3 exons.
UCCGAUUAACGUCUUUGACAUCAUUGUCAAAAUAUGUUGCGUAGUGUUUAUUGCUAUACGCUCGAUUUAUAGAGAUUUCAAAAUAUUCGGACAUCUGGAAGGAAAUAAGAAAGAAAUGUUUAAAAUAAAGUGACAAAUACGGUGCUUAUACUAUUUAAAGGUUUAGACAUUGUUCAGAUGAGUUCCAAGCAUGCAUGUUUGCCACCAGCAAACAACGUCUAGUUAAGAAACCAAUUCUCCGCAGAUAAUAUGGAUUUGGGCGCUGAAUAUGGAAGAUAACACAUGUGGAUCUAGAUUUCGGGAUAUUGCACGCAAAAUGCUAAGAUGGUGUCACCCACAACGAAGAGAGACUCAAAAUGGAAUCGACAAUUUUUCUUUUUUUUAGAAGCCUGGUACCCUUAAGAAAAUAUAUAAAUACCUUUUAACAAUAUUUUGCAUAUUUUAUACGCAA